RNAcentral lists this ribosomal RNA (253 nucleotides) under uncultured bacterium. Its description in RNAcentral is "partial 16S ribosomal RNA". It matches the Rfam family "Bacterial small subunit ribosomal RNA", at positions 524 to 776 of the family's 1533-position model. The record is from RNAcentral.
UACGUAGGUGGCAAGCGUUAUCCGGAAUUAUUGGGCGUAAAGAGCGCGCAGGUGGUUAAUUAAGUCUGAUGUGAAAGCCCACGGCUUAACCGUGGAGGGUCAUUGGAAACUGGUUGACUUGAGUGCAGAAGAGGGAAGUGGAAUUCCGUGUGUAGCGGUGAAAUGCGUAGAGAUAUGGAGGAACACCAGUGGCGAAGGCGGCUUCCUGGUCUGCAACUGACACUGAGGCGCGAAAGCGUGGGGAGCAAACAGG